Molecule: ribosomal RNA, 253 nt
Filed under: uncultured bacterium
Lineage: Bacteria
Description: partial 16S ribosomal RNA
Rfam family: Bacterial small subunit ribosomal RNA
Source: RNAcentral
UACGUAGGGGGCAAGCGUUGUCCGGAUUUAUUGGGCGUAAAGCGCGUGUAGGCGGUCAGGCAGGUCUGACGUGAAAUUUCGAGGCUCAACCUCGAUCGGUCGUUGGAAACCACCUGGCUAGAGUCCGGAAGAGGAGAGUGGAAUUCCUGGUGUAGCGGUGAAAUGCGCAGAUAUCAGGAAGAACACCGAUGGCGAAGGCAGCUCUCUGGGACGGUACUGACGCUGAGACGCGAAAGCGUGGGGAGCGAACAGG